This 477-nucleotide ribosomal RNA is filed under the name uncultured Bacteroidota bacterium. RNAcentral describes it as "bacterial SSU rRNA". It matches the Rfam family "Bacterial small subunit ribosomal RNA", at positions 28 to 505 of the family's 1533-position model. Lineage: Bacteria; Pseudomonadati; Bacteroidota. The record is from RNAcentral.
GAUGAACGCUAGCGGCAGGCCUAAUACAUGCAAGUCGAACGGUAAGGCCUCUUCGGAGGUACACGAGUGGCGGACGGGUGCGUAACGCGUAUGCAACCUACCCUUUAGAGGGGGAUAGCCUGGAGAAAUUCAGAUUAAUACCCUAUGGUAUCUAGAAAUCGCAUGGUUUUUGGAUUAAAACUUCGGUGUUAAAGGAUGGGCAUGCGUGACAUUAGCUAGAUGGUGAGGUAACGGCUCACCAUGGCAACGAUGUCUAGCUGGUCUGAGAGGAUGAUCAGCCACACUGGGACUGAGACACGGCCCAGACUCCUACGGGAGGCAGCAGUAGGGAAUAUUGGACAAUGGACGAAAGUCUGAUCCAGCCAUGCCGCGUGAGGGAAGACGGUUCUCUGAAUUGUAAACCUCUUUUAGCAGGGAAUAAGUCAGUGGUAUAGUCACUGUUGAAGGUACCUGCAGAAUAAGCACCGGCUAACUCCG